Pseudomonas sp. VI4.1 is the source of this 89-nucleotide non-coding RNA. The record is from Rfam. Lineage: Bacteria; Pseudomonadati; Pseudomonadota; Gammaproteobacteria; Pseudomonadales; Pseudomonadaceae.
CUUGAUGGUGGUUGUGCGCAUGGCGCCCUCGGGCGCGCCGGGUUUGGGUGGCUUACCGGUCGACUAACUUGCGCACAGCCGCCUCCCUU